UAAGAAGGGGGCGAGCGUUGUUCGGAAUUACUGGGCGUAAAGGGCGCGUAGGCGGCCGAUCAAGUCAGAUGUGAAAGUCCUGGGCUUAACCUGGGGACUGCAUUUGAUACUGAUUGGCUUGAAUGCAGGAGAGGAUAGCGGAAUUCCCAGUGUAGAGGUGAAAUUCGUAGAUAUUGGGAAGAACACCGGUGGCGAAGGCGGCUAUCUGGACUGUGAUUGACGCUGAGGCGCGAAAGCGUGGGGAGCAAACAGG
Molecule: ribosomal RNA, 253 nt
Filed under: uncultured bacterium
Lineage: Bacteria
Description: partial 16S ribosomal RNA
Rfam family: Bacterial small subunit ribosomal RNA
Source: RNAcentral